RNAcentral lists this ribosomal RNA (301 nucleotides) under uncultured bacterium. RNAcentral describes it as "partial 16S ribosomal RNA". It matches the Rfam family "Bacterial small subunit ribosomal RNA", at positions 509 to 807 of the family's 1533-position model. The record is from RNAcentral.
CAGUAGCCGCGGUAAUACGGAAGGUCCGGGCGUUAUCCGGAUUUAUUGGGUUUAAAGGGAGCGUAGGCCGUGGAUUAAGCGUGUUGUGAAAUGCAGGUGCUCAACGUCUGCACUGCAGCGCGAACUGGUCCACUAGAGUGUGCGCAACGCAGGCGGAAUUCGUCGUGUAGCGGUGAAAUGCUUAGAUAUGACGAAGAACUCCGAUUGCGAAGGCAGCUUGCGGGAGCACAGCUGACGCUGAAGCUCGAAAGUGCGGGUAUCGAACAGGAUUAGAUACCCCGGUAGUCCCUGUCUCUUAUAC